RNAcentral lists this ribosomal RNA (210 nucleotides) under Panax japonicus var. bipinnatifidus. RNAcentral describes it as "5.8S ribosomal RNA". The stretch from base 4 to 159 matches the Rfam family "5.8S ribosomal RNA". Rfam says of the family: 5.8S ribosomal RNA (5.8S rRNA) is a component of the large subunit of the eukaryotic ribosome. It is transcribed by RNA polymerase I as part of the 45S precursor that also contains 18S and 28S rRNA. The record is from RNAcentral. RNAcentral also lists the same sequence under 1 other name. Lineage: Eukaryota; Viridiplantae; Streptophyta; Magnoliopsida; Apiales; Araliaceae.
AACGACUCUCGGCAACGGAUAUCUCGGCUCUCGCAUCGAUGAAGAACGUAGCGAAAUGCGAUACUUGGUGUGAAUUGCAGAAUCCCGUGAACCAUCGAGUCUUUGAACGCAAGUUGCGCCCGAAGCCAUUAGGCCGAGGGCACGUCUGCCUGGGCGUCACGCAUCGCGUCGCCCCCCAACCCAUCACUCCCUUGCGGGAGUUGAGGCGGA